GCUGGGCAUGGUGGCGAAUGCCUGUGAUCCCAGCAACUCAGGAGGCCGAGGCAGAAGAAUUGCAAGUUCCAGGUCAGCCUCAGCAAUUUAUCAAGGCCCUAAGCAACUUAUCAAGAGUCUGUCUCCA
This 127-nucleotide small RNA is filed under the name Marmota monax (woodchuck). Lineage: Eukaryota; Metazoa; Chordata; Mammalia; Rodentia; Sciuridae. The record is from RNAcentral.